Molecule: long non-coding RNA, 671 nt
Filed under: Pandoravirus dulcis
Description: putative ncRNA
Source: RNAcentral
UCGGGACCAGCGCGGCGAUGGCACCGGCCAGGUGCGGCAGGCGCGCGAGGAUGGUGGCGUCGUGUGCGGCGGCGCCAACUGUUGCUGUGGCCGUGGUGAUGGUCGUCUCGGCCGCCAUGGUAGGAAGGGGUCAGUCGGGCUGUGGGAAAAAAUGCGGUUAGCGCCACAGACCGAGGGCGCCGAUGAAAACACAGCCAUGCACACACCCGCAAAAAAAAAAGAGAGGCACGAGGGGCAAACAAAAGAGAGCACGACAAGGGCGAGAAAAGGAGAGGUGAAAGAAAAAAGAAAGAGAAAAAUCGCAGCGCGCCUGUUGUGCUAUCGUAUCGUACAAAGGGGCGCAAAGGCACGGAGAGGGAAAAAACAGAACCGGUGACAAUGUCGGCGGCGGUGGCGACGCGAUGGACGAUCCGACCGGCGGUCUGUUGGGACGGGAUAAAAGGGCGCGUGCGCAAGGCGACACAGAAGCGCCGGAGAAAAUGGCGUGGCGCGCCGAGGACGCCGUGGGUCCCCUCUGACGGCGCCGCGUCUGUUUGGCGUCGACGGCACACACGCCCCGCAGACGAAUUUUUUUGUUUAUACUCCUUUCCUUUUCCCGUCAUUCCCAUAAACGGAUUGUGAUUGGCCCAUAUUUUCGUGGCGGGAAGAAAAACAGGGUCUCUCCUUUUGUC